AUUCCAGCUCCAAUAGCUUAUAUUAAAGUUGUUGCAGUUAAAAAGCUAGUAGUUGGAUUUGUGGUGCUGCUUGCAGUCCAAUUAGCUUUGGUGCUAGCGGGUGGUGCCAUCUUUGGGUGGAACCUGUAGGGCAUUAGCUUGUUUUGCAGGGGAUACCCAUCGUUUACUGUGAAAAAAUUAGAGUGUUCAAAGCAGGCUUAUGCCGUUGAAUAUACUAGCAUGGAAUAAUGAAAUAGGACUUUGGUACUAUUUUGUUGGUUUGCGCGCCAAAGUAAUGAUUAAUAGGGACAGUUGGGGGUAUUCGUAUUCCAUAGUCAGAGGUGAAAUUCUUGGAUUUUUGGAAGACGAACUACUGCGAAAGCAUUUACCAAGGAUGUU
Molecule: ribosomal RNA, 378 nt
Filed under: Pinnularia sp. NE-L20
Lineage: Eukaryota; Bacillariophyta; Bacillariophyceae; Sellaphorales; Pinnulariaceae
Description: SSU rRNA
Rfam family: Eukaryotic small subunit ribosomal RNA
Source: RNAcentral